CCCUUUGGGUGUGACUGCGUACCUUUUGUAUAAUGGGUCAGCGACUUAUAUUCUGUAGCAAGGUUAACCGAAUAGGGGAGCCGGAGGGAAACCGAGUCUUAAUUGGGCGUUAAGUUGCAGGGUAUAGACCCGAAACCCGGUGAUCUAGCCAUGGGCAGGUUGAAGGUUGGGUAACACUAACUGGAGGACCGAACCGACUAAUGUUGAAAAAUUAGCGGAUGACCUGUGGCUGGGGGUGAAAGGCCAAUCAAACCGGGAGAUAGCUGGUUCUCCCCGAAAGCUAUUUAGGUAGCGCCUCGUGAAUUCAUCUCCGGGGGUAGAGCACUGUUUCGGCUAGGGGGCCAUCCCGGCUUACCAACCCGAUGCAAACUGCGAAUACCGGAGAAUGUUAUCACGGGAGACACACGGCGGGUGCUAACGUCCGUCGUGAAGAGGGAAACAACCCAGACCGCCAGCUAAGGUCCCAAAGUCAUGGUUAAGUGGGAAACGAUGUGGGAAGGCCCAGACAGCCAGGAUGUUGGCUUAGAAGCAGCCAUCAUUUAAAGAAAGCGUAAUAGCUCACUGGUCGAGUCGGCCUGCGCGGAAGAUGUAACGGGGCUAAACCAUGCACCGAAGCUGCGGCAGCGACACUGUGUGUUGUUGGGUAGGGGAGCGUUCUGUAAGCCUGCGAAGGUGGCCUGUGAGGGUUGCUGGAGGUAUCAGAAGUGCGAAUGCUGACAUAAGUAACGAUAAAGCGGGUGAAAAGCCCGCUCGCCGGAAGACCAAGGGUUCCUGUCCAACGUUAAUCGGGGCAGGGUGAGUCGACCCCUAAGGCGAGGCCGAAAGGCGUAGUCGAUGGGAAACGGGUUAAUAUUCCCGUACUUGGUGUUACUGCGAAGGGGGGACGGAGAAGGCUAUGUUGGCCGGGCGACGGUUGUCCCGGUUUAAGCGUGUAGGUGUGUGUUCCAGGUAAAUCCGGUUCACUUUAACACUGAGGCGUGACGACGAGGCACUACGGUGCUGAAGCAACAAAUGCCCUGCUUCCAGGAAAAGCCUCUAAGCAUCAGGUAACAUCAAAUCGUACCCCAAACCGACACAGGUGGUCAGGUAGAGAAUACCAAGGCGCUUGAGAGAACUCGGGUGAAGGAACUAGGCAAAAUGGUGCCGUAACUUCGGGAGAAGGCACGCUGACACGUAGGUGAAGUGAUUUACUCAUGGAGCUGAAGUCAGUCGAAGAUACCAGCUGGCUGCAACUGUUUAUUAAAAACACAGCACUGUGCAAACACGAAAGUGGACGUAUACGGUGUGACGCCUGCCCGGUGCCGGAAGGUUAAUUGAUGGGGUCAGCGCAAGCGAAGCUCCUGAUCGAAGCCCCGGUAAACGGCGGCCGUAACUAUAACGGUCCUAAGGUAGCGAAAUUCCUUGUCGGGUAAGUUCCGACCUGCACGAAUGGCGUAAUGAUGGCCAGGCUGUCUCCACCCGAGACUCAGUGAAAUUGAACUCGCUGUGAAGAUGCAGUGUACCCGCGGCAAGACGGAAAGACCCCGUGAACCUUUACUAUAGCUUGACACUGAACAUUGAGCCUUGAUGUGUAGGAUAGGUGGGAGGCUUUGAAGUGUGGACGCCAGUCUGCAUGGAGCCGACCUUGAAAUACCACCCUUUAAUGUUUGAUGUUCUAACGUGGACCCGUUACCCGGGUUGCGGACAGUGUCUGGUGGGUAGUUUGACUGGGGCGGUCUCCUCCUAAAGAGUAACGGAGGAGCACGAAGGUUGGCUAAUCCUGGUCGGACAUCAGGAGGUUAGUGCAAUGGCAUAAGCCAGCUUGACUGCGAGCGUGACGGCGCGAGCAGGUGCGAAAGCAGGUCAUAGUGAUCCGGUGGUUCUGAAUGGAAGGGCCAUCGCUCAACGGAUAAAAGGUACUCCGGGGAUAACAGGCUGAUACCGCCCAAGAGUUCAUAUCGACGGCGGUGUUUGGCACCUCGAUGUCGGCUCAUCACAUCCUGGGGCUGAAGUAGGUCCCAAGGGUAUGGCUGUUCGCCAUUUAAAGUGGUACGCGAGCUGGGUUUAGAACGUCGUGAGACAGUUCGGUCCCUAUCUGCCGUGGGCGCUGGAGAACUGAGGGGGGCUGCUCCUAGUACGAGAGGACCGGAGUGGACGCAUCACUGGUGUUCGGGUUGUCAUGCCAAUGGCACUGCCCGGUAGCUAAAUGCGGAAGAGAUAAGUGCUGAAAGCAUCUAAGCACGAAACUUGCCCCGA
Molecule: ribosomal RNA, 2235 nt
Filed under: Salmonella enterica subsp. enterica serovar Enteritidis
Lineage: Bacteria; Pseudomonadati; Pseudomonadota; Gammaproteobacteria; Enterobacterales; Enterobacteriaceae
Description: partial 23S ribosomal RNA
Rfam family: Bacterial large subunit ribosomal RNA
Source: RNAcentral